RNAcentral lists this ribosomal RNA (483 nucleotides) under uncultured bacterium. RNAcentral's name for it is "partial 16S ribosomal RNA". It matches the Rfam family "Bacterial small subunit ribosomal RNA", at positions 28 to 507 of the family's 1533-position model. The record is from RNAcentral.
GACGAACGCUGGCGGCGUGCUUAACACAUGCAAGUCGAACGCUGAAGCUCAGCUUUUGUUGGGUGGAUGAGUGGCGAACGGGUGAGUAACACGUGAGUAACCUGCCCCCUUCUUUGGGAUAACGCCCGGAAACGGGUGCUAAUACUGGAUAUUCACUGGUCUUCGCAUGGGGGUUGGUGGAAAGGGUUUUUCUGGUGGGGGAUGGGCUCGCGGCCUAUCAGCUUGUUGGUGGGGUGAUGGCCUACCAAGGCUUUGACGGGUAGCCGGCCUGAGAGGGUGACCGGUAACAUUGGGACUGAGAUACGGCCCAGACUACUACGCGAGGCAGCAGUGGGGAAUAUUGCACAAUGGGCGCAAGACUGAUGCAGCGACGCCGCGUGAGGGAUGGAGGCCUUCGGGUUGUGAACCUCUUUCGCUCAUGGUCAAGCCGCAACAAUGGUUGUGGUGAGGGUAGUGGGUAAAGAAGCGCCGGCUAACUACGUG